This is a long non-coding RNA of Cercocebus atys (sooty mangabey), 1426 nucleotides long. RefSeq lists it as uncharacterized. The transcript is spliced from 3 exons. The record is from RefSeq and is a predicted model, not a curated record. Lineage: Eukaryota; Metazoa; Chordata; Mammalia; Primates; Cercopithecidae.
GUGAUUCUCCUGCCUCAGCCUCCCAAGUAGCUGGGAUUACAGAAAGAGAAGAUGACAGUCUGCAACUCAGAAGAAGGCCCUCACCAGAACUUGACCAUGCCGUCACCCUGAUCAUGAACUUCCAGCCUCCAAAACUGGCCUUUGUGAAGAAGUCUCACAGAUGGUAUGAAGAACUCUUGGACAGUGCAUGCAGGGCUACGGAUUGCAGGAAUGUCUUGGAGGCUUUGUGCACUCAGGAUGAGGCAUGAACCAUCAAUGAAGAAAGGGAUAAAGAAAACAAUAAUGGAACCCAAACUUGUAGCCUGUAUCCUAGAAUGCUCAUGAGCGAAGCUGUCAAAGAACCAUAACCCUGUAUUUAUGGAGCAUGAUGUUUAAUUGGAACUGAAUAAAUCAUAUAUUAAAUAGAUGUAUUGAAGAAAAAAUAGGACCAUAGAUACACAUGCACACAUACAUACAUGCCACAUGCAUUACACAUAAUUUAAUUUAAUACAUGCAUGCAUUGUUUGUUUUUAGAAUUGCUUUUCAAAACACAACAUAUUCUAGAGAAAGGGUCAGCAAAUUUUUUCUAAAAAGGAACAGAUAGUAUGUGUUUUCUGUUUUCUAGGCCACAUCCAAUCUCUGUGUCAACUACUCAUUUCUAUUGUUAUAGUACAAAAACAGUCCUAAACAAUAUGUAAAUGAAUGUGUGUAGCUGUGUUCCAAUAGCACUGCAUUUAUCAGCGCUGACAUUUGAAUGUCACAUAAUUUUAAUGUCAUAUUCUUCCUUUUAUUUUGUUCAACCAUUUAAAAAUGUAAAAGGUUUUCCUUGCUUGCAAGCUAUACAAAAACAAGUGAUGAGCUGUAUUUGGCUCAUGGGUGACCUCUGCUUUAAAGGGUCAAUAUCUAUGGGAUAAAAGGUUAUGAUGUCUAAAAUUAGAAAGUAUGUUAGAUUUGAGAAUAUCUCUUAAUACUUAGCAUAAUUGAGUCACUUUUAUGGACAUGACUGUUUGAAAGUGCUAAGAUAAUCACAAGUUAGUUCUGUACUCUCUGUGUUUCCUCUGCAGUUGUUACAUAGGAAAUUUCCUAUCCUCUGAAAGUUAUCAGCAAGUUUGACUGUGUUUUUUUGUAAAUUAUCUUGUACUGGAGAGCCACCAUCUCCAUUUGAAAUUUAAUAAUGUGUAAUGAAAGCAAUAACUAAAAAUGGGUAUCAAAUCUAAAUUACCAAAUGAAGCUAAAAACAAAGAAACUGAUAUACUGUUCUUACUGUAUACAUGUCAUCACACUCAAUCUUUCAUUUUUUUAUUUAAAAUUUUAUUUUAGGUUCAGGAGUACAUGUGCAGGUUUUUUAUACAGGUAAAUCUGUGUCACGGGGACUUGUACAGAUUAUUUCAUGACCCAGGUACUAAACCUAGUACCCAACAGUGAUUUUUUUUUCUGCUCCUUUCCC